UUUUCCUUCCGUUAGAAUUUA
Molecule: non-coding RNA, 21 nt
Filed under: Caenorhabditis elegans
Lineage: Eukaryota; Metazoa; Nematoda; Chromadorea; Rhabditida; Rhabditidae
Source: RNAcentral